Molecule: long non-coding RNA, 278 nt
Organism: Papaver somniferum (opium poppy)
Lineage: Eukaryota; Viridiplantae; Streptophyta; Magnoliopsida; Ranunculales; Papaveraceae
Exons: 2
Source: RefSeq, a predicted model, not a curated record
GAAGAAUAUACCUUCAACGAGAUUUAGUUGCAGUUGACUUGAUUGAUAAACAAGUGAGAUGCGGCAGAAAUCUUGCAGGAAAUUCCAGACAUAUCUAUCAUGGAUUGAAUAAACUAGUACUCGAAUCCAAGGUCUCUUUUUCAGUUUUUGGCAUCAGAGAUUCAUAUGGCUUUGCACCAGACUUGUUGCAUUUGAAUUAGUACUCUUUUGUGUUAACUGUUAACUAUCUUAUGUCCUUUGUUGCUUUUGAAUUACUGAAUUAGUACUCUUUUGCUUUU